Molecule: transfer RNA, 73 nt
Filed under: Felis catus (domestic cat)
Lineage: Eukaryota; Metazoa; Chordata; Mammalia; Carnivora; Felidae
Also listed under: 3 other names
Rfam family: tRNA
About the family: Transfer RNA (tRNA) molecules are approximately 80 nucleotides in length. Their secondary structure includes four short double-helical elements and three loops (D, anti-codon, and T loops).
Source: Rfam by way of RNAcentral
GCCUGGCUAGCUCAUUUGGUGGAGCAUGAGACUCUUGAUCUCAGGGUUGUGGGCUCAAGCCCCAAAUUGGGUG